GGACCAUUGGUUCGUGCACUGAGAUUGACAAUUCAAGCAGCAUUGAAUGAGCUACGAACGUCAGUAAUUGAAGAAUACAACGUCGUUGUGGCGUACGGUCGCACACAGGGCCCGCAGAAGUAACGGUUGCGCAACGGAGAGAAACUGUGGUUUGGAGACGAUGGCUUUAACCGUGAUGAUCUGGACCCACGGAACAGGUUGCUGGCGGCUUCCUAGACCAUGGUCUAGAUUUUCGGAUUUGGUGUAACCAGCGACGCGUGGAUUCCGGAUCUGACCGGAGAAAUUUUAUUUGGCCUGAGAAGAUGGUUGAGGAGAGGCUGCCACAUAGCUCUGGAGGAACAUCGACUCUUCAAGAAGCUUUGGAGUCCGGCGAUUCGAGCAGCGAGCCAGCAGGCGACAGGGAGACGAGAUCAGACCACAAGUUCGUCGGCGACCGCAGGCAAAAGAUAGACUUCUCCUUGGAUGUUGGAUCUAGUGAGCAGCCGGUUGUGUCUCCUAUAGUUUCAGUGUGGCUAUCUACGAGGGGACAACGGAGAUUGUCGCCAGUGGCACAGUCGCGAGGAAAGAAGGCGAGUGCAGCCAUGGUUGGCCGGUCAGCCGAAGCAAUCGGUGCUUGGCAAGUUGGCAUCUUACAAACUUUGGCCGGAGGGGAGUGGGCAUGAAGCUGACGGGUAAAAGCUGACUCUGCAACAGCCAACUCGAAAAGCAAAUCCAUAAUCUCCGGGGUGGACAAAAGGUUACAAGGCCCGUGCUGGCCGGGCACCACUGACAUGACACGUGUGCAUCGGUGCAUCUAGGAAGAGUGCCCUUGAAAAAUUGACCCAUGGUUAUGCAGAAAAGCUUGAGGAUGAGGUCAUCGAUCCUUGCCUGGUGCCUGAAUGCUUGGUCCAUGUCGGUAGGGUACCAUUGGACAGGACACUUGUACUCAUGCGAGCAUGGUUUCGGAAUUAGGUAUGGAAAGAGCCAUCUAAAUGAAGUGAAGACCAAAUGCAUGCAGGAAAUUUUGUGCGGAUUGUUGGUAACUGUCUGUUGAGUGACGUGAACCUUUGGUCCAUCUAUGGCCUAGGUGCAUUCUAGUGACAUUAAAAGUUGUUUCUGCUUCUCUCUUUUGUUCAGGGCAAACCAUCGGUGGAGAACACUAAGUCGUGUCAACACGAGUGCCCAGCUAUGAUCAGGUUGCUUCAGACGACGGACAAUGGAUGGUACAUAACUAAGUAUAGGGUCAAAAGUAACACAUGUUGACUGAAAACUGUGGAGAAAAGUUUUUUGGGGAUGCUAUAACUUUCCACACGACAUACAAGACCAACUUGUUUGACAUGUUAUCUGGUUUGUUUGUGGUUGAUAAUAGCCACUUUGAGAGCAUAAUUUUAGCAAGUGUCAUAGUCCAGGACAAGCAGGUGGAGAGCUUUUUUGCGAGUGGAGAGCUUUGAGUGGGUUUUCACAUAGUUUAUCAGAAUGACGGGUGGAGUUGCACUUCGACAAUACUUGCAGGAAUUCAGGAUCAAUGCUGAGCCAUGGAAGUUGCAAUUGGGAAUGUUCUGCCGAGCACGACACAUCCGACUACGAACAUCGGAUGAAGUUCUGAAAGGAAAAGGGCCGUAUGUGGUCAGUACUAAGCCCUGGGGAGUUUCAAUCAGAAACCUAGCAUGCCAUGGCCUAGGCCAGAGAAAAUUUGGGCUGCAUUAUCUGUUAAUGGAUCGUUUGAUGAAGAAGGAAAAGGUGGAGUAGGUAUGAUCCUAAGAAAUUCUAGUGCUGAGGUCAUUUUUCUUCAUGCCAAUGUCUAUCUCAUUGCAAUGAAGCGCUGGAGACUGAACUAUGCGCUACGCUGGAAGGCAUCUCCCUUGCUAUGGAGUGGUGUUCAUCCAAACGGUUUGUGCCUCAAUCUUAGGUCAAGCUAUGGCCAUCUAUUUGACGAGGUGAAGCGUCUUUUAGUCUUUGGGAAUUUAUCCUUGUGAAGUUAGAUCAUAGAUAAAAUAGGGUUGCACAUUGUCUAAUUUUGAUACGUCGGAAGGCAGUACAGUUUGUUGCUUUCUCCAAAUUCCUGAAUGUGCUUCACAACUUGUAAUGGAUGAUUGCAACCCUGUUAUAUAGAAUAAAAUCUCAGUGGCUUCCGCAAAAAAAUUGAAACCUACUCAGUGUUCUU
Long non-coding RNA from Lolium perenne, 2143 nucleotides. RefSeq lists it as uncharacterized. NCBI's taxonomy places the organism in Eukaryota, Viridiplantae, Streptophyta, Magnoliopsida, Poales, Poaceae. The record is from RefSeq and is a predicted model, not a curated record.